GACGAACGCUGGCGGCGUGCCUAAUACAUGCAAGUCGAACGCACUCUCGUUUAGAUUGAAGGAGCUUGCUCCUGAUUGAUAAACAUUUGAGUGAGUGGCGGACGGGUGAGUAACACGUGGGUAACCUGCCCUAAAGUGGGGGAUAACAUUUGGAAACAGAUGCUAAUACCGCAUAAAACCUAAACACCGCAUGGUGUAGGGUUGAAAGAUGGUUUCGGCUAUCACUUUAGGAUGGACCCGCGGUGCAUUAGUUAGUUGGUGAGGUAAAGGCUCACCAAGACCGUGAUGCAUAGCCGACCUGAGAGGGUAAUCGGCCACACUGGGACUGAGACACGGCCCAGACUCCUACGGGAGGCAGCAGUAGGGAAUCUUCCACAAUGGACGAAAGUCUGAUGGAGCAACGCCGCGUGAGUGAAGAAGGUUUCGGAUCGUAAAACUCUGUUGUUGGAGAAGAAUGUAUCUGAUAGUAACUGAUC
RNAcentral lists this ribosomal RNA (476 nucleotides) under uncultured bacterium. RNAcentral's name for it is "bacterial SSU rRNA". It matches the Rfam family "Bacterial small subunit ribosomal RNA", at positions 28 to 468 of the family's 1533-position model. The record is from RNAcentral.